UACGUAGGCAGCGAGCGUUGUUCGGAGUUACUGGGCGUAAAGGGUGUGUAGGCGGUUCUUUAAGUUUGGUGUGAAAUCUCCCGGCUCAACCGGGAGGGUGCGCCGAAUACUGAGGGACUAGAGUGCGGGAGAGGAAAGUGGAAUUCCUGGUGUAGCGGUGAAAUGCGUAGAUAUCAGGAGGAACACCGGUGGUGUAGACGGCUUUCUGGACCGUAACUGACGCUGAGACACGAAAGCGUGGGUAGCAAACGGG
This 253-nucleotide ribosomal RNA is filed under the name uncultured bacterium. RNAcentral's name for it is "partial 16S ribosomal RNA". It matches the Rfam family "Bacterial small subunit ribosomal RNA", at positions 524 to 776 of the family's 1533-position model. The record is from RNAcentral.